CCUACGGGAGGCUGCAGUGGGGAAUAUUGGACAAUGGGCGAAAGCCUGAUCCAGCCAUGCCGCGUGUGUGAAGAAGGCCUUCGGUUUGUAAAGCACUUUCAGUGGGGAAGAAAGCCUUGGGGCUAAUACCCUCGAGGAAGGACAUCACCCACAGAAGAAGCACCGGCUAACUCCGUGCCAGCAGCCGCGGUAAUACGGAGGGUGCGAGCGUUAAUCGGAAUUACUGGGCGUAAAGCGCGCGUAGGCGGUCUGAUAAGCCGGUUGUGAAAGCCCCGGGCUCAACCUGGGAACGGCAUCCGGAACUGUCAGGCUAGAGUGCAGGAGAGGAAGGUAGAAUUCCCGGUGUAGCGGUGAAAUGCGUAGAGAUCGGGAGGAAUACCAGUGGCGAAGGCGGCCUUCUGGACUGACACUGACGCUGAGGUGCGAAAGCGUGGGUAGCAAACAGGAUUAGAUACCCCGGUAGUC
This 465-nucleotide ribosomal RNA is filed under the name Vreelandella stevensii. Its description in RNAcentral is "partial 16S ribosomal RNA". It matches the Rfam family "Bacterial small subunit ribosomal RNA", at positions 338 to 795 of the family's 1533-position model. Lineage: Bacteria; Pseudomonadati; Pseudomonadota; Gammaproteobacteria; Oceanospirillales; Halomonadaceae. The record is from RNAcentral.